UUUUUUCUGCAUAAAAACUCAUUUACACUCUCAUUUUAGGUAUCCUUCAUCUUGUCGUUCUUCAUAGAAACACCCUAAUCCAUGUAUUCCUUUAGAGAGCACACACUCAUUUUUUGGGCAUCAUUUUGAUUUUUGCUGCAAUACUCGCAUUUUCUGGGAUUUUUGAGUUGUUUCUUGGCUGGAGAUUGAAGUUGCUUUAUGCUAAGCCUGCUUUUGCUGAGAUACUCAUCUUUUUUUCUGAAACCUUUAUUUGAUUUUGGUUUCUUAUUUACUUGCUGAUUAAGGUAUGAAUCCUGUCUUCAAAU
Molecule: long non-coding RNA, 305 nt
Filed under: Nicotiana benthamiana
Lineage: Eukaryota; Viridiplantae; Streptophyta; Magnoliopsida; Solanales; Solanaceae
Description: long non-coding RNA (NBEN_LNC017230)
Source: RNAcentral